This 326-nucleotide unclassified non-coding RNA is filed under the name rhizosphere metagenome. Its description in RNAcentral is "partial ribosomal RNA internal transcribed spacer region". The record is from RNAcentral.
GUAGGUGAACCUGCGGAAGGAUCAUUAAAACGUUCCAAUAACGUAUACCUUGGUGAACUGUUUAACCGUCCCAUACAAAGGACUGGCUGUAAGGUUUAGGAGUGCGAUGCAAUAGGGAGGGGGAGGGGAAAAGCGGCUUCACGGCUGCUGGACCUCUUCUUCUCUGCGCCUUUACCGUCAGAACUCUCUCCCUCACCGGAGUCUGGUCUGGAGCCUAACCUCUGUAUCUUCACUAUUGUUCAUUUUUAACCCACUUUCUUUUUUUGUCUAAUAUAAUAAAAACUUUAAAUUAAGAACAAUUCUUAGCAACGGAUAUCUUGGUUCUC